Molecule: long non-coding RNA, 1872 nt
Filed under: Chinchilla lanigera (long-tailed chinchilla)
Lineage: Eukaryota; Metazoa; Chordata; Mammalia; Rodentia; Chinchillidae
Description: lncRNA (ENSCLAG00000028263.1)
Source: RNAcentral
GGGCUGUGCUGGCAGGAAAAGACUUUCCAAGUCUUUCACAACCCACUUCCCAGGGUCUUCCCUCCCCCAGAAGCUGACCCGCCUCACAUUGCUACUUCCCUUAGCCUGACAGCCAGGCUUACAACAAAUCAGGAAGCCAGCAUCCCCCCAAGCCCCUGCAGGAGCCUGUACCUCCUCCUCCUCUAUUCUGGGUCAGCAGAGGAGCCAGGCUGCCAGCUCUUGGCUCCAUCUGCUGUCCCCUGUGGCCGGCGAGGUGUGAGGGUGACUCGUUAAGAGUCUAGCAAGGAAGAUGGGACUUUCUCACCCCUUAUGUCUGGAAACAGCUUUGGCUCUGGAAUUUCCCUGGGCACUCAGCCCGGAAGGAAGGAGAGAAAAGAAGGAGAAAGAAAGCAAUAAAGAGAACAGCAGACUGCCGCCUGAGAGUCCUGGCCAGCAGGGCGAGAGAUUGGAAAUGAAGGCUGAGGCGCAAGCUGGGUGCUCCUCUCUCAAGAGGCUGGAUCAGGAAUGGACCCAAUGGCUGGAAUGGCGUCCUUACUCUCCUGGAGACAGCUGGGUACCCGAGCCUCUCUGCGCACUUCCGUGAAGAUGUUUUCUCAACCCGGAGCAGCAUGACUGAAACUCAGAGGGUUGGAGGCAGCAGUUUUCCUCUCUGGGCCUUGCAGCUUUCUGAGCAGUCAUAAAUUAAAUUUGAACUUGAACUUAGGCAGUCUAUAUCCCAGCACGCCUCAGUUGGUUACUUUCCUGUAGGUCCUUAAACCUUGACACACUGAGGUUUUCAGCGCCAUGACCUUGGAGAGGGCCCCCGUUGACCCCACAUGCAGCCACUGGGGCUGCCUUUGAACCGCACACCCUUAAGAAAAUAAGACCCAGAUGGGUGUGCGGCCAUAGCUGGUUGCCAAAGUGCUGGAGAGUUCUCCAGCCAUUACCCAAAAAUAAAGUGCUCCCAUUCUCAGACGGGCAGCCCAGAGCCAGGAACAAUUAAAGCAUAGCACCUUAAAAAGGGACGAUCAGCAAGGCCUCUCCAGGGCAGAAGCAAAUCAAAUCCUUCAAACACAAUGCAAAUGACUCGGGCUCAUCUCACCAGUAAUAACUGUGUUUGGUGAUGCUGCUUUUCUAAGUUUCCCAAGUAUGCAGCACAAUUCUUCCCUUUGCUUGGCUUUUCCCUAAUAGUGCAACCUAAUUAAAUAUGAUUAGUUUCCAAAUUGCAUUAAGCUGGAGCCCCCACAUGCAGACAACCCUGAAUCUAAUUAGAGGCUACCGCAAGCGUCGGAAAAGCCCGCAGACAUGACACCGCUCCAUGAAGCAUAAUUGUCUGCAGCAUUUAAUACUUCAAUUUUCUCAGUGACGAGAGGGAGAAAAAUAUGUUGCAAAAAAAAGUUGUGUUUUUCGGCGGCAGUUUGACAACUUUAACAAAUAGCUUUGCAUCCUAAUAUAACAAGUUCCCGGUAGACAUUCCAGAAAGGGUGUGAUUAGAAGGGCUUCAUCGGGCUGGGGAGCGGGUUGGCCCUCGGCAGCUCCCCACCCCGAGUGACUUCGCAGCAUUUGACCCGUUAAAAGGAAGCAGACACAAUAUUUAUGCACGCAGCAAAUCACACUCAUGUCAACCCCAAACCUCCCGUGAGCUCAUGCUCAAAAAAUGGUACUAGUUCGGAAACGGAGAUGCAGACGGGGCCAAGAGAGGGAGGAAGCCUGGAGAGCUCAGCCCCAGCCACCCCAGUUUGCUGGAUGAGACAAACCCAGCUGCAAACACAGCCGAGUCACUCUCCACCGCUUGGUACAGAUCUAAUUAGCAGAGGGGCUGAGUGUGGAAAAAAAGUUCCCUGAGUGUGGAAGAAAAAUAAAAGGGAGGAGUGAGUCAAUGCUUUUCCUAGU